ACACAUGCAAGUCGAACGGUGAUGCCCAGCUUGCUGGGUGGAUCAGUGGCGAACGGGUGAGUAACACGUGAGCAACCUGCCCCCUACUUCGGGAUAAGCCUUGGAAACGGGGUCUAAUACCGGAUAUGAGCACCGACCGCAUGGUGGGUGUUGGAAAGUUUUUCGGUGGGGGAUGGGCUCGCGGCCUAUCAGCUUGUUGGUGGGGUAAUGGCCUACCAAGGCGUCGACGGGUAGCCGGCCUGAGAGGGCGACCGGCCACACUGGGACUGAGACACGGCCCAGACUCCUACGGGAGGCAGCAGUGGGGAAUAUUGCACAAUGGGCGAAAGCCUGAUGCAGCGACGCCACGUGAGGGAUGACGGCCUUCGGGUUGUAAACCUCUUUCAGCAGGGAAGAAGCGCAAGUGACGGUACCUGCAGAAGAAGCGCCGGCUAACUACGUGCCAGCAGCCGCGGUAAUACGUAGGGCGCAAGCGUUGUCCGGAAUUAUUGGGCGUAAAGAGCUCGUAGGCGGUCUGUCGCGUCUGGUGUGAAAUCCCAUGGCUCAACUGUGGGCUUGCAUCGGGUACGGGCAGACUAGAGUGCUGUAGGGGAGACUGGAAUUCCUGGUGUAGCGGUGGAAUGCGCAGAUAUCAGGAGGAACACCGAUGGCGAAGGCAGGUCUCUGGGCAGUUACUGACGCUGAGGAGCGAAAGCAUGGGGAGCGAACAGGAUUAGAUACCCUGGUAGUCCAUGCCGUAAACGUUGGGCACUAGGUGUGGGGCCAGUUCCACUGGUUCUGUGCCGCAGCUAACGCAUUAAGUGCCCCGCCUGGGGAGUACGGCCGCAAGGCUAAAACUCAAAGGAAUUGACGGGGGCCCGCACAAGCGGCGGAGCAUGCGGAUUAAUUCGAUGCAACGCGAAGAACCUUACCAAGGCUUGACAUGUACGAGAACGCCCCAGAGAUGGGGUUCUCUUUGGACACUCGUACACAGGUGGUGCAUGGUUGUCGUCAGCUCGUGUCGUGAGAUGUUGGGUUAAGUCCCGCAACGAGCGCAACCCUUAUCCUUUGUUGCCAGCGGGUUAUGCCGGGG
This 1072-nucleotide ribosomal RNA is filed under the name Promicromonospora sp. 7_51. RNAcentral's name for it is "bacterial SSU rRNA". It matches the Rfam family "Bacterial small subunit ribosomal RNA", at positions 51 to 1136 of the family's 1533-position model. Lineage: Bacteria; Bacillati; Actinomycetota; Actinomycetes; Micrococcales; Promicromonosporaceae. The record is from RNAcentral.